UCCAUCCCCAUUUGGAAUAUCCCGGUC
Molecule: non-coding RNA, 27 nt
Filed under: Homo sapiens (human)
Lineage: Eukaryota; Metazoa; Chordata; Mammalia; Primates; Hominidae
Source: RNAcentral